GAAUCCGUGGCGCAAUGGUAGCGCGUCUGACUCCAAAUCAGAAGGUUUGCCUUGUUAAAAUCACGUCGGGGUCA
This 74-nucleotide transfer RNA is filed under the name Nematostella vectensis (starlet sea anemone). It matches the Rfam family "tRNA". From Rfam's summary of the family: Transfer RNA (tRNA) molecules are approximately 80 nucleotides in length. Lineage: Eukaryota; Metazoa; Cnidaria; Anthozoa; Actiniaria; Edwardsiidae. The record is from Rfam by way of RNAcentral.